This 654-nucleotide ribosomal RNA is filed under the name uncultured ciliate. RNAcentral describes it as "SSU rRNA". It matches the Rfam family "Eukaryotic small subunit ribosomal RNA", at positions 329 to 1009 of the family's 1831-position model. Lineage: Eukaryota; Ciliophora. The record is from RNAcentral.
UGGUGUGUUGUACACCCAUGGCAGGGUGGAAAAAGGAGAAUUAGGGUUCGAUUCCGGAGAGAGAGCCUGAGAAACGGCUACCACAUCUGCGGGAGGCAGCAGGAGCGAAAAUUGCCCACUCCUGAUACAGGGAGGCAGUGACAAGAAAUAUCAACUCUUGGAUUUCCAAGAAGUGAAAUGAGGAUAAUUUACAACCCUUACCGAAAGCAAUUGGAGGGCAAGUCUGGUGCCAGCAGCCGCGGUAAUUCCAGCUCCAAUAGCGUAUAUUAAAGUUGUUGCAGUUAAAAAGCUCGUAGUUGAAACUCUGACUGUUCGAUCCCCGAGCUCUGUAGCCGGGGGCACGACAGUCAUCCGCUUGCAAAUAUAUGUUCGCCUUUAAACGGGCGGCUAUAUGAGCAAGCAAUUUACCUUGAAAAAAACAGAGUGUUCCAGGCAGGUUUGUCCGGAAUGCAUUAGCAAGGAAUAAUAGAAUAUGACUGAAGUCUAUUUAUUGGUUUGAGGCUUUAGUAAUGAUUAAUAGGAACAGUCGGGGGCAUUGGUACUUGACAGUCAGAGGUGAAAUUCUAGGAUUUGUCAAAGACUAACAAAUGCGAAAGCAUUCGCCAAGGAUGUUUUCAUUAAUCAAGAACGAAAGUUAGGGGAUCAAAGACGAUC